Molecule: long non-coding RNA, 2080 nt
Filed under: Apteryx rowi (Okarito brown kiwi)
Lineage: Eukaryota; Metazoa; Chordata; Aves; Apterygiformes; Apterygidae
Description: lncRNA (ENSARWG00000014223.1)
Source: RNAcentral
CCUCUCCCGCCUCUGCACACUGCAAGAAGCCAUGGGAGCAGCACUGUCACAGCAGCUGGAGAGAGGUGGAAGGCAAAGCUGAAGCAGAACAGACACAUGAAGCAGGUACUGUGCUUGGGACAGCAGAUGAAGUUAGCGCCUUCAAUGUGGCCUCGGCAGUGCACGGAUUAGGCGCAGUGCUGGCUGGACGAGAGGCUCAGUGGCUGUGCAGGAGAGCGGGCAAGGCGAGGCAGGCGAGAAGCGCAAAGCCCUGCUGCAGGCGUGUGCGUGGCGCAGGCCCACCAUGCCGCAGAGGCAGCCAUGCAGCGGUAACCAUCAUCCACGGCGAACACAAUCCUUCCCAACGGCUCCAAGGGCAGAGCUGCCUUUGGUUUCCUCUUAGCCGCCACGCUACCCUUGCGCGUGUUUGAGAGGCAGCGCUUCACGCAGACCCGCUGCCUCCCCCCUCCGGCGACCGGGAGCCCGCGGACACCCGACGGGCGAGGAGCGGCGCCCGCAACAUGGCCGCCAGGGAGGAGCCCGCGCGCCUAGGGGGGCCGUUGGGGGCGGGGGCGGGGCCGGGCGGCGGCGGCGCCCUGAGGGGAGCGCGGCGGCGGCGCCAUGGGGGAGCGGGAUGGCGGUUGGGACAGCGAUAGCGACGAGACCGUCGUGGAGGGCUCAGUGAUAGAGAGCGAUGUGGAGGGAGAGGAGCUCCACGGCAGGAGGUUAUCUUUUGUUGAUAAGGACGUGUCUUUAACAACUGAAGUAAGAAUUGAUGAAGGAGCCCCCUCUCCAGAGAUCUGUUUUAUCCAUAAAGUUCAUGAUUAUCCAUACACUUUGAAGGAAGAAAAACAGAUAAAUCCAAUACCUCUGGAGACGAAUGCAUCUGACCAAUCUCGGUCUCUACUGCAGAGUUGGAUAAACUGUCCCUCAUUUUCUGAAAAUAUUUCUGAGUCUGUUUUUUCACUGGAUGCUGCAGUAGAGGGUCAGCAAAAUAAUUCUGUAGAUUUAGAUAUCAAGGUGGUUGGAUUUCUGAAAGAUUCAGAGGAAAAGGUUAGUGUAUUUUUACAACUGAAUGCAUGUAAAAUAUCAUUUGAUUGAAUUAGCAUUGGAGACAGAAUCCAUAAGGGCUAUGUCUUAAGCUAAUGGGAACCUUCCUAAGAAGCUGCAGAUGGCAGCAUGUUUCCCACCAAUGAAAAUUAUGGGAGAGACAUUAGGAAGGAUUUUGAGGAGGAACGGAGUAUCUGUAACUGCCUUCUGUUUGUAUAUGAUGACUCACUUGUGGCCAAAAAUAGGUAGUACCAGUCUCUGUUUCUUCUCUUUGCUAAUCCUAAAGCUGCUCACGAGUGAUGGGUUAUACUGCUGACCACAUAAAAGCGAUGGAAUAGCUUCAGAGCUGCCUUUCCCACCAAUAUGUCAGCUUCUUUCUCAGUGAUUUUGAAUCCAGGAUGAUUCCACCACAGUGUAAGCCUAUCUAAUUGGCUGUUGCGUGGUAUGGCCCAUUUUCCUUGCCAUGUGUUUCUGCUGCUUCCUUUGGGUUUGUUUGAGGCCAAGUGUGAAGCAGGUUUGGGGGAACUGAUCAUCAGACACUGUUCACCUUUUUUAGUAGGUUAGUUUUCUGCCAGAUUAUUUUUUCAAGCCAGUUUACCAGAUGAUUAGGUAACUGCCAGUACAGUGCAAGAAAGGAUGUGGAGAUGCAUAGUUAAAGGCAAAUGGAAGGAUGCAACUAUAGCAAGACUAAUUUACAUAAGCUUAAUACAACCUGAAUAUUAUUAAUAUAACUCACAAAGAAUUGUUUUAGUAAUUAUCUGCUUGCACACAUUGCCUUUGUACAUAAAACAAAGAAAACCUUGGAGAGAGGGAAUCCCCCACAGCUUUCAGAAAAGGUAGUAACAAAAAAAUCAACAAUGUAUCAAUAAGUAAAACAUCCAACCCAGAAAUAUCUUGAGCAGGAGCUGAAGUUUCUGCAACCGCUGACAUAAACAUCCAAGCACCAAAUGUUCCUUUGAUGCUCCGCUUCCCCUUUCCCCUAUUCCCUUCCAACACUCAUGGGUUGAAGUUAGUGAAGUCCAAGCACCAGAGAGGGACUUGAACAGAUCUA